CUCAGGCCCCCUGUCCCGGAAGGUUUUCAUACCCUUCCCCUGGUGAGGAAGGACCCCCCCCCCAACAUUCCAGGCGCCCCAUGGGCUGUCCGGGGCCUGGCACGCACCCAGAGCUGCAGUCGGGGUGAACUCUAAUGUGGGUCCCGGGUGUAUGUGGUGGGCGCUGGGGGUGGGUUGGAGGCUCCAGUCUCAAAGUCGGGACGCGGCCUGGCGACUGCUAGGUUGUCUGGGAUGCAGAUCUGGUGGGUGGGUGUAGGCAGUGUUUGGAUGGACAGCAGGAAAUCAAGGACCCCAGAAAGGGAGGGCCGAGAGGGGGAGACUGGUGAUGCCCGUCUGUCUGAGGGUUCCGGGGCCGGUUCCAGUUAAGUUGGGGGGCGGGCCAUUGGGGGGUUCAGACCGGGAGUACUAAUUCAAUGGGGGGGUCGCGCAGGCAUAGCAGACCCUCCGCGGAGAAUUGGGGGACAGAUCAGCAUCUGGGACGCCAGAUGACUCAGACACACCAGUGGGGGAGACAAUAUAACGGUUCUGCAGAAGACUCAUGUGAGGCUCUGAGGUCCCAGGUUCAAUCCCCAGCUGGUACCAUCAUAAGCCAGAGCCCCGGCACAAGGCAGGUACCUGCUCCACAGCAGGCAGGGGAAGCGGGCACCAGAUCCUGGGGUCUGGAACACCCCCCCCCCACAGCGGCACUCACGGCGUUAUCGGGAUGGAAGACAUAGGAGGCGGGCGAGUUGU
Molecule: long non-coding RNA, 732 nt
Organism: Erinaceus europaeus (western European hedgehog)
Lineage: Eukaryota; Metazoa; Chordata; Mammalia; Eulipotyphla; Erinaceidae
Exons: 3
Source: RefSeq, a predicted model, not a curated record